AGGUUGAACGCUGGUCGGCAUGCUUUACACAUGCAAGUCGAACGGCGAGCACGGGGGCAACCCCUGGUGGCGAGUGGCGAACGGGUGAGUAAUGCAUCGGAAUCUGCCCUGAUGUGGGGGAUUAACGUAGGGAAACUUACGCUUAAUACCGCAUACGACCGAGAGGUGGAAAGCGGGGGACCGAAAGGCCUCGCGCAGCAGGAUGAG
Molecule: ribosomal RNA, 207 nt
Filed under: uncultured prokaryote
Description: partial 16S ribosomal RNA
Rfam family: Bacterial small subunit ribosomal RNA
Source: RNAcentral